GAUUAACGCUAGCGGCAGGCCUAAUACAUGCAAGUCGAACGAGAUCCGGAAUAGCAAUAUUCCGGUGAGAGUGGCGGACGGGUGCGUAACACGUAUGCAACCUACCUUUAACUGGGGAAUAGCUCACCGAAAGGUGAAUUAAUACCGCAUAAAAUCACAAGAGGACAUCCUUUAAUGAUUAAAUCUACGGAGGUUAAAGAUGGGCAUGCGCCCGAUUAGCUAGUUGGCGGGGUAACAGCCCACCAAGGCAACGAUCGGUAGGGGGUCUGAGAGGAUGA
This 278-nucleotide ribosomal RNA is filed under the name uncultured bacterium. RNAcentral's name for it is "partial 16S ribosomal RNA". It matches the Rfam family "Bacterial small subunit ribosomal RNA", at positions 28 to 303 of the family's 1533-position model. The record is from RNAcentral.